UUACUUGAGAGUCAGAGUCCUUUGUUUUGUAGGUCCCUCCUCUUGUCCUCCUAAGAAAGGGUACUCACAGUCUGAUGUUUGAGAUCGUGGAGCCCACCUUGGCCACAUCCACCCUGACGUCGGCCCACUCUAGAUUUUGGUAAGUACAUUUGGCGCCCAUUGUGGGGCCACAGUAAAACUUUCCCAGCAGCCUUUCUUUCACUAAUGGUUAGCACGCGGUCUAGCCUCAGACGCAGGACCCCUCUAGAAGGCUCCAAUCCUCCCCCAACAACUAUGAUAGACACCGAUACUCUCUAGCAACUCCAAACCCGCAUUGUGG
This 319-nucleotide long non-coding RNA is filed under the name Glycine max (soybean). RNAcentral's name for it is "long non-coding RNA (GMAX_LNC000368)". Lineage: Eukaryota; Viridiplantae; Streptophyta; Magnoliopsida; Fabales; Fabaceae. The record is from RNAcentral.